GUGCUCACUUCGGCAGCACAUCUACUAAAAUUGGAACAACACAGAGAAGACUGGCAUGGCCCCUGUGCAAGGAUGACAUGCAGAUUUGUGAAGCGAUCCAUAUUUUU
Small nuclear RNA from Fukomys damarensis (Damara mole-rat), 107 nucleotides. NCBI's taxonomy places the organism in Eukaryota, Metazoa, Chordata, Mammalia, Rodentia, Bathyergidae. The record is from Ensembl.